CGAAUUAGUUUGAUCUAAGUAACUAGGCUUUCUAGAGCAAUGAUGUGCGUCGUAUAGUACAAUUACAAAAGUUAUUUAGGGGCGAUAGGCUAUUCAAAAACUAGGAUAUCUUGAUACCAGAGAAAAGUAUCUAGUACUUAAAACAAAUAUAAAGUGAUUAGGCUUUAUAUAUAUAUAUAAUAGCUAUUUUUUAAUAGAAAAGAUAUAACCAUCUUUUUCUACUUCCAAUUUAUUAUUUUAAUUUAAUUUAUGUAUACUAUAUAUGGUUAUGUGUAAAAUUUAAGUUAACAUUGAUAAUGUUUACAUAAGUACUCUUAUAAGACCUAAAUAACGAACUCGGCAAAUUUUUCUUCAACUGUUUAUCAAAAACAUAACUAUAUGAAUACUUAAUAUAUAGCUAUUUCUGCUCAAUGUAUUAUAUAAAUAGCCGCAGUACUUUGACUGUGCAAAGGUAGCAUAAUCAAUUGGCUUAUAAUUGAAGUCUAGAAUGAAAGAAUCUAUGGGGAAAUACUGUUUCAUUUUGGUAUUUGGAAAUUACUAAGUAGGUGAAAAAACCUAUAAAUAAAAAAUAGACGAGAAGACCCUUGAAAUUUUAAUUAAAAAUUAAUUAUACCUUUUUGUUGGGGCGACAAAGUAGCAAGAAAACCUACUUGAAAAAUAAGUAUUAAGUAUAAAGAUUAAAUAAAUUACUCUAGGGAUAACAGCAUAAUAUUUAAAAGUUUGUGACCUCGAUGUUGGACUAGGAAGAUAUAGUUUAGAAGACUAUUAUAAAGGCUCUGUU
RNAcentral lists this ribosomal RNA (781 nucleotides) under Acusta ravida. Its description in RNAcentral is "partial large subunit ribosomal RNA". Lineage: Eukaryota; Metazoa; Mollusca; Gastropoda; Stylommatophora; Camaenidae. The record is from RNAcentral.